UGUCGCAGUUUUGAAACAGAGUGACUUGAAUUGGUAUAUAUAGACUUAGUGUCUGCCAAUAUCUUUCCGAAUUUACAUUUGUGUGCAUAUUACUGUGUUUCCUAGCCUUAUCUUGUUUUCUGUUCGGUAACGAUAUACGUUAUAAAUUUAUAGAUUUUUUGCGUUUCCAGAUUCUAGUAGGAGCAUGGCUUUUAGGCUGCCUGCUGCUAAGGUCAGCGUAUAUGUGCUCCCUCAUUUCUCAUCUUGUGGUGCAAGGAAAAUCAACGACAAUAGAUAGCUUCGAGGACUUGGUUGAUCUUCAUCGAGCUGAAGGAUGGGAAUGGGGAACCGAAAUAUUCGAAGGAGCAUUCGAUACUUUUCUCACUAUAAGCCAUAAUCAAAACAAUCACAUAAUUAAGAAAUACAUGCAGACUAUGUCAACUGAGGAAGGACUGAAGAGAGUGCUACAAGGUGGCUUUUCCUAUUUACGCAACUAUUACAUAACAAAGAUAAUUACAAAGACCUUCAGUGAGGGGGGGAAAACGGACGGUGAUCCUUUCUACAUUAGUUCUACCAGAUAUCCACUCUUUCUAGGGAACUCCUGGGCUUUCAGACGCUCUGCACCUUUCCUUCGUCGCUUCGAACUGGCUAUUCAGCAGCUCCUUGAUGCGGGGUUGGUUUACUAUUGGAUGGAUGACGUUAUUAACACACACCUCUGGAAGACUCGACAAGAGAGGAAUGCCAUUGCAUCAAUGAAGAUGCGGUCCAUUGUUCAAUCAGAAGGUGGAGAAAGGCUGGUGCUGGGGUUUCGUCACCUGCAAGUUACUUUCUACACUCUGGUAUUUGGCUCUGCGAUAGCAUCUGUUGUCUUCCUCCUUGAACGUAUAUUUCGUUAAUGCGGGCAGCUCUUCUUGAAUCUAACUGAGUAAAUUCAUAACAAGAUAAUUCACACACACACACACACACACACACACACACACACACACACACACACACACACACAAAGUAUCUGAGCUAUAUUGUUAAAUAAUAUUAAUAAGGGGCGGUUGUAAGUGGUCGACCUGAAGAUUUUUUUCUUUUUUUUUUGGCUUAUAUUAUUCUGUCAUUCUUUCAGUUUCUUUUGGUAUAUGUAAAAAUCUGAUGAAAAAAUAAUAAUAAGUGGUAUGCAAUAUGCAAAGCAAUGCAAUGCAACGUCCUGCUAUGAGUUUCCGCGGAGUUACUGGCUGCAAUAGAUGUUUUCAUCUAGUUUUUAUUAAAGGUAUUUAUUUUCUUUGUCUGUCAUACAACUUUAACGUUCUCUCGCACUACUACAUAAGAAAACGGAAAAUUUAUAGCACUCACUAAUAUUUUUUCGUAUUUAU
Long non-coding RNA from Eriocheir sinensis (Chinese mitten crab), 1340 nucleotides. RefSeq lists it as uncharacterized. The record is from RefSeq and is a predicted model, not a curated record. The transcript has 4 exons. NCBI's taxonomy places the organism in Eukaryota, Metazoa, Arthropoda, Malacostraca, Decapoda, Varunidae.